UACGUAGGGGGCAAGCGUUGUCCGGAUUUAUUGGGCGUAAAGAGCGUGUAGGCGGCCUGACAGGUCUGCUGUGAAAACUCGAGGCUCAACCUCGAGAUGUCGGCGGAAACCGUCUGGCUAGAGUCCGGAAGAGGAGAGUGGAAUUCCUGGUGUAGCGGUGAAAUGCGCAGAUAUCAGGAAGAACACCUAUGGCGAAGGCAGCUCUCUGGGACGGUACUGAUGCUGAGACGCGAAAGCGUGGGGAGCGAACAGG
RNAcentral lists this ribosomal RNA (253 nucleotides) under uncultured bacterium. RNAcentral describes it as "partial 16S ribosomal RNA". It matches the Rfam family "Bacterial small subunit ribosomal RNA", at positions 524 to 776 of the family's 1533-position model. The record is from RNAcentral.